Molecule: small nuclear RNA, 115 nt
Organism: Camarhynchus parvulus
Lineage: Eukaryota; Metazoa; Chordata; Aves; Passeriformes; Thraupidae
Gene: U5
Rfam family: U5 spliceosomal RNA
About the family: U5 RNA is a component of both types of known spliceosome. The precise function of this molecule is unknown, though it is known that the 5' loop is required for splice site selection and p220 binding, and that both the 3' stem-loop and the Sm site are important for Sm protein binding and cap methylation.
Source: Ensembl
GUUCUCCGGUUUCUCUUCAGAUCAUAUAAAUCUUUCACCUUUUCCUAAACGUUUCCGUGGAGAGAAACGCGUACGAGUCCUACGAAAUUUUUUGUGGCUCCAUUACGGUAGAGCU